UUAUUGAUAUGCUUAAGUUCAGCGGGUAUCCCUACCUGAUCCGAGGUCAACCUGAAAAAAUAGAUUGAGGGGGGUCGGCUGGCGCCGGCCGGGCCUACAAGAGCGGGUGACGAAGCCCCAUACGCUCGAGGACCGGACGCGGUGCCGCCGCUGCCUUUCGGGCCCGCCCCCCCAGCGCGGGGGGGGGCGGGGGCCCAACACACAAGCCGUGCUUGAGGGCAGCAAUGACGCUCGGACAGGCAUGCCCUCCGGAAUACCAGAGGGCGCAAUGUGCGUUCAAAGACUCGAUGAUUCACUGAAUUCUGCAAUUCACAUUAGUUAUCGCAUUUCGCUGCGUUCUUCAUCGAUGCCGGAACCAAGAGAUCCGUUGUUGAAAGUUUUAACUAAUUUAGCUAGUUUCUCAGACUGCAACUUCAGACAGCGUUCACAGGUGUCUUCGGCGGGCGCGGGCCCGGGGGCGGAAGCCCCCCGGCGGCCGUGAGGCGGGCCCGCCGAAGCAACAGGGUUCGGAAAACACGGGUGGGAGGUUGGACCCAGAGGGCCCUCACUCGGUAAUGAUCCUUCCGCAGGUUCACCUACGGAAACCUUGUUANNACUUUAACUUC
This 605-nucleotide unclassified non-coding RNA is filed under the name Penicillium copticola. RNAcentral's name for it is "sequence contains ITS1, 5.8S rRNA gene and ITS2". The record is from RNAcentral. Lineage: Eukaryota; Fungi; Ascomycota; Eurotiomycetes; Eurotiales; Aspergillaceae.